CGAAUGGGGAGAUUCAUCGUCAAUAUGUUUAAUAUAUGUAUGCGUUAUGAUAUAAAUUUUUUUAUUCCUUUUUGGUUUAUUAUAAUUUAUACAUACGUAUAUUAUUUUAUUGUUAUUCAUUGUCGGCGUGCACUUCUCCCCUAGUAGGACGUCGCGACCCGUUGGAUGUCGGUUUACGGACUUAUUGGGUAGCCUUUAAUCGUUAAACAUUAAAGACCAAUUUGUCUUUCCUGACCGACUGUCCGGCGGUAUUCGUAUGGUAUUGAGUCGCAAAUUUUUUUGCGUUUACACCCGUCGCAAGCGAGGCCAGUGUUUUAUCCCGGUAGUGCGGACCUAGUGCCGUCGCUGGGCCUGGCCAGCUGUUGGCUGUUACGGUGUUCUGAAACUGACUCGAAAAAUAAAUAAUACCGGUCGGCGACGCUACUGCUUUGGGUACUUUCAGGACCCGUCUUGAAACACGGACCAAGGAGUCUAACAUGUGCGCGAGUCAUUGGGAUUUUUUUAAUAAAAUUAAACCUAAAGGCGCAAUGAAAGUAAAGAUCGUCCUUGUGUCGAUUGAGGGAGGAUGAGCCGUAUUACGAUACGGCUCCGCACUCCCGGGGCGUCUCAUUCUCAUUAUGAGAAGAGGCGCACCCAGAGC
RNAcentral lists this ribosomal RNA (640 nucleotides) under Toxares deltiger. Its description in RNAcentral is "eukaryotic LSU rRNA". It matches the Rfam family "Eukaryotic large subunit ribosomal RNA", at positions 483 to 801 of the family's 3401-position model. The record is from RNAcentral. Lineage: Eukaryota; Metazoa; Arthropoda; Insecta; Hymenoptera; Braconidae.